CAGUCGCCGCGGUAAUACGGAGGGAGCUAGCGUUGUUCGGAAUUACUGGGCGUAAAGCGCGCGUAGGCGGUUACUCAAGUCAGAGGUGAAAGCCCGGGGCUCAACCCCGGAACUGCCUUUGAAACUAGGUGACUAGAAUCUUGGAGAGGUCAGUGGAAUUCCGAGUGUAGAGGUGAAAUUCGUAGAUAUUCGGAAGAACACCAGUGGCGAAGGCGACUGACUGGACAAGUAUUGACGCUGAGGUGCGAAAGCGUGGGGAGCAAACAGGAUUAGAUACCCGAGUAGUCCCUGUCUCUUAUAC
This 301-nucleotide ribosomal RNA is filed under the name uncultured bacterium. RNAcentral describes it as "partial 16S ribosomal RNA". It matches the Rfam family "Bacterial small subunit ribosomal RNA", at positions 509 to 807 of the family's 1533-position model. The record is from RNAcentral.